UUAUAGUGGCCUCCAUCAACAGCAUCUUUGGCUGUUUACGCCGCCGUAUGAACAGAGGCACUUAAACAGGAGACAAAUGUCUGUGGGAGCAAUUUAUAUGAUUGUAUCUUGUUCAUAUUCAUCCUCAUAAAGAGCCUCCAUGAUUCACUGUGUGGAGGACAUAUUUGAAUCGAUGGCAGAUAGGCCCUCUAAACCCACUCCAACUUCUGUCUUUCUCUCGCCCACUUGGGAUCUGCAGCACUAUAACACCACAGACUAAAUCCGGUGAUACUCCUGCAGUAUUUGAAGCAUGUGUGGCUGCAUAAUGAGCAGGUGAGAGCAUCUUUAUUUACAGGAAUCGCCGGAGAUGCAACACAGUGAAUGUAACUGAACCAUUUUUUACCUGCAUAGCGGUUUAUGGUGCCGUUUUUCUAUUGUUCUGAAGAGAAGUUGAAUUAGUGAGGCAUCAGUGUUGACUAAACACUGGUAUUAUGAAUGUAGAUGCUUAAGAACCUUAAGCAAAAUAGCAACGCAGGGCCACAUAUGAAAGCCAAGAUCAGGGAUUGACUCAUCAACAGUUUUCACCUCAUUUCCAUGUAGCAUAGCAAAAUCCCAUUAAUCACAAAUGUCUUCUUUUUAAUAAAUAUGCAAAUUUAUAUUAGCCGAUUGGUGUU
Cyprinus carpio (common carp) is the source of this 653-nucleotide long non-coding RNA. NCBI's taxonomy places the organism in Eukaryota, Metazoa, Chordata, Actinopteri, Cypriniformes, Cyprinidae. The record is from Ensembl.